GUCAUUGCUGAAUUAAUGUGUGAAAUGU
Molecule: small RNA, 28 nt
Filed under: Bombyx mori (domestic silkworm)
Lineage: Eukaryota; Metazoa; Arthropoda; Insecta; Lepidoptera; Bombycidae
Description: ovarian small RNA-17725
Source: RNAcentral